Molecule: ribosomal RNA, 450 nt
Filed under: uncultured bacterium
Lineage: Bacteria
Description: bacterial SSU rRNA
Rfam family: Bacterial small subunit ribosomal RNA
Source: RNAcentral
CGGCGAACGGGUGAGUAACGCGUGGGCAACCUGCCCCCCAGACUGGGAUAACAGCUCGAAAGGGCUGCUAAUACCGGAUGAGCCUCUAGUGCCGCAUGGUGCUGGAGGGAAAGCGGUUCAGCGCUGGGGGAUGGGCCCGCGUCCCAUUAGCUAGUUGGUGAGGUAACGGCUCACCAAGGCGACGAUGGGUAGCCGGCCUGAGAGGGUGGACGGCCACACUGGGACUGAGACACGGCCCAGACUCCUACGGGAGGCAGCAGUAGGGAAUAUUGCGCAAUGGGGGGAACCCUGACGCAGCGACGCCGCGUGAGCGAAGAAGGCCUUCGGGUCGUAAAGCUCUGUCCUAUGGGAAGAAGGAGACGGUACCAUAGGAGGAAGCCCCGGCUAACUACGUGCCAGCAGCCGCGGUAAUACGUAGGGGGCGAGCGUUGUCCGGAAUUACUGGGCGUA